GCCUGGCUGGCUCAGUUGGUAGAGCAUGGGACUCUUGAUCGAACUCAGGGUCGUGAGUUCAAGCCUCACCCUGGGCG
Molecule: transfer RNA, 77 nt
Filed under: Mustela putorius furo (domestic ferret)
Lineage: Eukaryota; Metazoa; Chordata; Mammalia; Carnivora; Mustelidae
Rfam family: tRNA
About the family: Transfer RNA (tRNA) molecules are approximately 80 nucleotides in length. Their secondary structure includes four short double-helical elements and three loops (D, anti-codon, and T loops). Further hydrogen bonds mediate the characteristic L-shaped molecular structure. tRNAs have two regions of fundamental functional importance: the anti-codon, which is responsible for specific mRNA codon recognition, and the 3' end, to which the tRNAs corresponding amino acid is attached (by aminoacyl-tRNA synthetases). tRNAs cope with the degeneracy of the genetic code in two manners: having more than one tRNA (with a specific anti-codon) for a particular amino acid; and 'wobble' base-pairing, i.e. permitting non-standard base-pairing at the 3rd anti-codon position.
Source: Rfam by way of RNAcentral